RNAcentral lists this long non-coding RNA (990 nucleotides) under Nicotiana benthamiana. RNAcentral's name for it is "long non-coding RNA (NBEN_LNC010233)". Lineage: Eukaryota; Viridiplantae; Streptophyta; Magnoliopsida; Solanales; Solanaceae. The record is from RNAcentral.
UUAUUUUAGUUUUAAUUUAAAAUAAAUUAGAAAAAUAUGAAAAUAAAAGAGGCGAAUCAUGUUUUUGGGCCAAAAUCUUAUUAAAAUUCCAACCUAAUGCAAUUGCUCCUUUUAAAACCCAGCCCAAAUUAGCCCUUAUCCAACCCCAAACUGGGUCGACCCGACCCAAACCCAAUAUCCAAAUCCAUUUCCCCACAUAAAUCAAAACCUAGACCUAAUACCUAAAAUCCCUAACACACAUAAACAGAUACAGACGCUUAUACAGAACAAUAAACACGCUGGAAAUUGGCUGAAGGGACGCGCAGCUUUGGCUUCUUCUUAACAAAUACACCCAGAUACACACGAGACAAUAUACACAAUAUACAGAGAAUAAAGACGUCUGAAGGGCUGCGCAACUUUGCUUCUUGUUGACGAAGCUCGAAGAUACACACGCCUAUACACCAUAUAGAGGACUGGAGAAUGCCCAAAGCUCUCUAUCUCUAUCCAUUACUGGAAUUCACCACCGGUCGACUACCCCUUAAACACGAGCACUCCCAGAUUUCAUCUUGUUCAGCCGUGUUCAUCGGAGAAACCCCAGACAUGCACAUCAUCUAAACUCCAAUCCCGAGUCAGACCCGACUGAAUACAAUACUUCUGGUCGCUUGAGCAUUUUCCGGCGAAUUUCAAUCCAAGAUAACACUUGAACACGAAAAUUCCAUCAGCGUUCCUGUUUGCCGAGUUUGUUUCGAUUAUUGUUGGUCGUUUGAGAGUUUGUUUGAGGUUCUCGCUCACAGUUCCGGUCCAUCGAGGUCUUCCGUGAUUUUCUGUAAUUCAGAGUUCCGUUAUCGAGCUUCGCUUUCAAAAUUAUAUGGGUCAUACGGUCCGUCUCUUGGCCAUUUCUCCCUUUUUCUUGCUCUUUGUUAUUCGCUUGUUAAACAAUAUGAAAUAUUUUAGCUCAUUAAAUGCCUCGGAAUAUUGUUUGUUUCUGUCACUUAUAAAGCUAUGAAGGGC